AAAUAGCCCUGAUAGAAGCGAUAUCCUUUUUGUUUUUUCUUUAAAAAUAAAAAGAUACAAGCGGAUAGCAGGAAUAGCU
RNAcentral lists this small RNA (79 nucleotides) under Flavobacterium sp. A45. RNAcentral's name for it is "Flavo-1 RNA". It matches the Rfam family "Flavo-1 RNA". The record is from Rfam by way of RNAcentral. Lineage: Bacteria; Pseudomonadati; Bacteroidota; Flavobacteriia; Flavobacteriales; Flavobacteriaceae.